AGCUUGGGCCCCACGCAAUGGGAGAUACCGAACCGUGUCAGGAUGGGAACAUAGCAGCACUAAGGUAAACCUUUCAUGUGCCGUGGGUCAUCCUGGGUGGAGU
Molecule: signal recognition particle RNA, 103 nt
Filed under: Oribacterium parvum ACB8
Lineage: Bacteria; Bacillati; Bacillota; Clostridia; Lachnospirales; Lachnospiraceae
Description: Bacterial signal recognition particle RNA
Rfam family: Bacterial small signal recognition particle RNA
About the family: The signal recognition particle (SRP) is a universally conserved ribonucleoprotein involved in the co-translational targeting of proteins to membranes. Archaeal SRP consists of a 7S RNA and homologues of the eukaryotic SRP19 and SRP54 proteins. In most bacteria, the SRP consists of a 4.5S RNA and the Ffh protein (a homologue of the eukaryotic SRP54 protein).
Source: RNAcentral